AACUUUUAGCAAUGGAUCUCUUGGCUCUCGUAUCGAUGAAGAACUCAGCGAAAUGCGAUAAGUAAUGUGAAUUGCAGAAUUCAGUGAAUCAUCGAAUCUUUGAACGCACCUUGCGCUUCUUGGUAUUCCAAGGAGCAUGUCUGUUUGAGUGUCACCAACUUCUCAAUCAUGCAAGCUUUAAUCUAAAGCUGGUUUGAAUUGGAUUGUGGAUAUUGCAGGUCCCUUCAUCAAGGGUCUGCUUGUCUGAAAUAUAUUAGCAUAAGUUUUUCAAUCACUUAUCACUGGUAUGAUAAUUAACUUAUACUGCCAUUGGUGUGUUUGACUUGAGCUUCAAGUUCGGUCUGCUUUGCAGACAACUACAUGAAUCAUCUGACCUCAAAUCAGAUAGGACUACCCGCUGAACUUAAGCAUAUCAAUAAGCGGAGGCU
This 428-nucleotide unclassified non-coding RNA is filed under the name uncultured Entoloma. Its description in RNAcentral is "sequence contains ITS2". The stretch from base 1 to 154 matches the Rfam family "5.8S ribosomal RNA". Lineage: Eukaryota; Fungi; Basidiomycota; Agaricomycetes; Agaricales; Entolomataceae. The record is from RNAcentral.